GGUUUUGAAGUAUAUAUUACGUUGAAUUGCAAAUUCAAAAAAGUAGCUUAAGUGCUGCCAAGGCCU
RNAcentral lists this transfer RNA (66 nucleotides) under Sminthopsis crassicaudata (fat-tailed dunnart). RNAcentral describes it as "tRNA-Cys". The record is from RNAcentral. Lineage: Eukaryota; Metazoa; Chordata; Mammalia; Dasyuromorphia; Dasyuridae.